CAACCCCUUCAAGCUCGGCUUGUGUGUUGGGCGUCGUCCCCGCUGGACGCGCCCGAAAGGCAGUGGCGGUUCCGUGUUCCGGUGCCCGAGCGUAUGGGGCUUUGUCACCCGCUCUAGAGGCCCGGCCGGCGACCAGCCCGCUAGAGGCUUAACCGGACUCCGGUUAAGGCUCCAACUAAACUUUUCGU
RNAcentral lists this unclassified non-coding RNA (188 nucleotides) under uncultured Onygenales. RNAcentral's name for it is "sequence contains ITS2". Lineage: Eukaryota; Fungi; Ascomycota; Eurotiomycetes; Onygenales. The record is from RNAcentral.